This 301-nucleotide ribosomal RNA is filed under the name uncultured bacterium. RNAcentral describes it as "partial 16S ribosomal RNA". It matches the Rfam family "Bacterial small subunit ribosomal RNA", at positions 509 to 807 of the family's 1533-position model. The record is from RNAcentral.
CAGCAGCCGCGGUAAUACGUAGGGUGCAAGCGUUAAUCGGAAUUACUGGGCGUAAAGCGUGCGCAGGCGGUUUGUUAAGACAGAUGUGAAAUCCCCGGGCUCAACCUGGGAACUGCAUUUGUGACUGGCAGGCUAGAGUAUGGCAGAGGGGGGUGGAAUUCCGCGUGUAGCAGUGAAAUGCGUAGAUAUGUGGAGGAACACCGAUGGCGAAGGCAAUCCCCUGGACCUGUACUGACGCUCAUGCACGAAAGCGUGGGGAGCAAACAGGAUUAGAUACCCGCGUAGUCCCUGUCUCUUAUAC